GGGUCUUGCUCUGUCACCGAGGCUGGAGUUCAGUGGCACCAUCAGAGCUCACUGCAGCCUCAACCUACCAGGCUCAAGCAAUCCUCCUGCCUCAGCCUCCUGAAUAGCUGGGACUACAGCAACUUCCAGUUCUGCAAGCUCCAUUAAUGGGAACAUGAAGAAAGGUCUUAGAAGGAGAUGAAAAUGAGUAUUUUACCAAAAUGAAAUUGAAAGAAGAAAAAACUAAAGGAAAAGAAAAAAUAAAAGAAUGGGAGAAAGUAAAAAAUACAUACAUAGAAAAUAAUGUAAAGUAUCAGACAAGAUUUUGUGGGUGAAAAACUAGACAAGCAAUUCAGGUAGUGUAAUCCAAAUCUAGAAAAAUAUACAUUGAGAAUCUGAAGUGUAUAGAUUAAAGAAUAUUUCAA
This is a long non-coding RNA of Symphalangus syndactylus (siamang), 404 nucleotides long. RefSeq lists it as uncharacterized. The record is from RefSeq and is a predicted model, not a curated record. NCBI's taxonomy places the organism in Eukaryota, Metazoa, Chordata, Mammalia, Primates, Hylobatidae.